AUACGUAGGGGGCGAGCGUUGUCCGGAAUGAUUGGGCGUAAAGGGCGCGUAGGCGGCGCGGUAAGUCUGGAGUGAAAGUCCUGCUUUCAAGGUGGGAAUUGCUUUGGAUACUGAUGGGCUUGAGUGCAGGAGAGGUUAUCGGAAUUCCCGGUGUAGCGGUGAAAUGCGUAGAGAUCGGGAGGAACACCAGUGGCGAAGGCGGGUAACUGGACUGCAACUGACGCUGAGGCGCGAAAGUGUGGGGAGCAAACAGGAUUAGAUACCCUGGUAGUCCACACUGUAAACGAUGAAUGCUAGGUGUAAGAGGUAUCGACCCCUUUUGUGCCGGAGUUAACACAAUAAGCAUUCCGCCUGGGGAGUACGGCCGCAAGGUUGAAACUCAAAGGAAUUGACGGGG
RNAcentral lists this ribosomal RNA (397 nucleotides) under uncultured bacterium. RNAcentral's name for it is "partial 16S ribosomal RNA". It matches the Rfam family "Bacterial small subunit ribosomal RNA", at positions 523 to 918 of the family's 1533-position model. The record is from RNAcentral.